Molecule: long non-coding RNA, 838 nt
Organism: Solanum dulcamara
Lineage: Eukaryota; Viridiplantae; Streptophyta; Magnoliopsida; Solanales; Solanaceae
Exons: 5
Source: RefSeq, a predicted model, not a curated record
AAAUGUCCCUCUAAAAACUCACAAAAAAACACAACCCUGUUCCCUACAUCUUCGUCUCUCAAAAUCUGAACAGUCAAGUUCAUUCCCCCUUUUCUUAUUUCUCCCUCUUGCCCAAAACCCCUCCACUUCAGUUGAAUAUCAAGCAGCUUCAGGAAUAACUAUAUAAAAUGUAUUCUCUUCUUGCUUAACUCUCUCUUAUUCCUUUGUUUCAUUUACUAUCCAUUGAAAUAAUACCUGAGGAAAAAGGUGACCCUCGUUGGUGAGAUUUUAUACAAUCUUGUAUGCAACAAUGCAAGUUGAUUAAGUUGAAACUCCAUCUACUUCGGUCAAGCUCAAAAUAUGAGAAACAAAUAUGGAAUAACAACCACCUGAUGAAGCUUCAAAUGGAAAGUAUCUGAUUGGCAGAUAUAGGUUUAAGGUGACUUUCAUUUUCUUGUAAUAGUUUAAGAGAAGGUUGUGAAGAAAAAGAACAGAAGAAGAACUGCAGACACAUUGAAUAUAACAUCUUAUAUGUCUCAUCAUUCCUUAUUUUCGUUCUUUGAAAAAAAUCAAAUAUUGAUGGCUCUAUUCUGGACAUUGAUUUCGACAAAAUAGGAUAUACACUAUACAAAUAGCUCAACUUAAAUGUAUGUUGAUUUUGAGACUUUAUAUUUUCAGCUUGUGGAGGAGUGAUGAAAUCAAAAUCGAUGGAGAUAUAAUUUUUUUUUUCUCUUGUAAAAGUACAUUGAUAUAUUUGACUGUUUCACUAUUUAGAUGAUAUUGUUGAAUUUUUAUUAACUUUUUCUCUAAUAUAUUGAAUUUAUUGCACAAUUUUAAAUAUUUUGCUACAAUUGACUUA